This 253-nucleotide ribosomal RNA is filed under the name uncultured bacterium. Its description in RNAcentral is "partial 16S ribosomal RNA". It matches the Rfam family "Bacterial small subunit ribosomal RNA", at positions 524 to 776 of the family's 1533-position model. The record is from RNAcentral.
UACGUAGGGUGCAAGCGUUGUCCGGAAUUAUUGGGCGUAAAGAGCUCGUAGGCGGUUUGUCGCGUCUGCUGUGGAAACCCGAGGCUCAACCUCGGGCCUGCAGUGGGUACGGGCAGACUUGAGUGUUGCAGGGGAGACUGGAAUUCCUGGUGUAGCGGUGAAAUGCGCAGAUAUCGGGAGGAACACCGGUGGCGAAGGCGGUUCUCUGGGCCUUACCUGACGCUGAGGAGCGAAAGCGUGGGGAGCGAACAGG